This 73-nucleotide small RNA is filed under the name Lonsdalea britannica. Its description in RNAcentral is "PyrD leader". It matches the Rfam family "PyrD leader". The record is from RNAcentral. Lineage: Bacteria; Pseudomonadati; Pseudomonadota; Gammaproteobacteria; Enterobacterales; Pectobacteriaceae.
AUUCCCUUUCCGGGCCGGAUGGCCGAUAAUACUGCCCCGGUCUGCAACCGGGAAUCCAGGAGAGUCCAUGUAC